GGUGGCUUAAUGGUAGGGCACUUGCCUUGUAUGCAUGAGGUCCUGGGUUUGAUUCCUCAGCACCA
Dipodomys ordii (Ord's kangaroo rat) is the source of this 65-nucleotide non-coding RNA. NCBI's taxonomy places the organism in Eukaryota, Metazoa, Chordata, Mammalia, Rodentia, Heteromyidae. The record is from Rfam.